AUUGAACGCUGGCGGCAGGCCUAACACAUGCAAGUCGAGCGGAUGGAGGGAGCUUGCUCCUGGAUUUAGCGGCGGACGGGUGAGUAAUGCCUAGGAAUCUGCCUGGUAGUGGGGGAUAACGUCCGGAAACGGGCGCUAAUACCGCAUACGUCCUGAGGGAGAAAGUGGGGGAUCUUCGGACCUCACGCUAUCAGAUGAGCCUAGGUCGGAUUAGCUAGUUGGUGGGGUAAAGGCCUACCAAGGCGACGAUCCGUAACUGGUCUGAGAGGAUGAUCAGUCACACUGGAACUGAGACACGGUCCAGACUCCUACGGGAGGCAGCAGUGGGGAAUAUUGGACAAUGGGCGAAAGCCUGAUCCAGCCAUGCCGCGUGUGUGAAGAAGGUCUUCGGAUUGUAAAGCACUUUAAGUUGGGAGGAAGGGCAGCAAGUUAAUACCUUGCUGUUUUGACGUUACCAACAGAAUAAGCACCGGCUAACUUCGUG
RNAcentral lists this ribosomal RNA (484 nucleotides) under uncultured bacterium. RNAcentral describes it as "partial 16S ribosomal RNA". It matches the Rfam family "Bacterial small subunit ribosomal RNA", at positions 30 to 507 of the family's 1533-position model. The record is from RNAcentral.